This 2051-nucleotide long non-coding RNA is filed under the name Olea europaea subsp. europaea. The record is from RNAcentral. Lineage: Eukaryota; Viridiplantae; Streptophyta; Magnoliopsida; Lamiales; Oleaceae.
UUCAAAGUACCCAUCCAUUCCCAAAUUAAAAUCUCGUCUCCUUCCUUUCACAUUCAAUUCAUCAUCUCCUUCAUCCUUCUUCUCAAGUAUGUUUGCGAGAUAAUAGUGUGUAUAUGAAAUACCAAUUCCCUAUUUGUGGAUGAUAAUAGGCCCAAUUUGCUAUUAUGAAUUCUGUGAGGCUGACAGCCACCACCAUCAAAGAUUGUGGAGGGUUUUGAAGGAAAGCACAACAUUGAUAUCUACUACAAGAAUGAGUGAAUAGUUGUUGUGAAGAAGGUUGAAUGCGGUUCAGAAUUUAUCCCUUUUAGGAUUUUGGACCUCCGAGUUCACAUGGUUUGGCUUAGUGGGUGCUUGGUUCGGCUACAUCAGGUGAAAGUUACAGAGUUUCAUAUUUUCUUUUUAUUUUGAAUUGCCACGUUCUUAUUAUACAGCUUCUUUUAGAUUAUGCAUUUGGGAUUUGAUGAAAGGGUAAUUUGGUUUAGUUAGGCAUGUAAGUAGCUAAUUAUUUUCAUUUGGUUUCUAUUUAGAAUUAAUAAAUUACUCCUUACUGCAAGUUCACUGCAUUAUAAUUUUUGUUGAUUAAAUUUGUUCAAAGUCAACUCUUUUACUACCACUAUUCCCACCUCUAUGGCCGUUCAUACCGUGCCCCUAUGUCUAAGAAGGUUUCAGUUAUCUCUAGGUAAAUAUUCUUUUGCUUCUAAGUGUAUAUUAAUAUGUGCUUUGUAUUUCUUUAUUUUUUUCUUUUUUUUUUGGUUUCCUAUUGUUUUCAUAAUUUUUGGUUCUAGUAAUUACAAAUUAUUUUAAUUUGGAUUUAUUUUGGGUGUAUGAAGUUUUAUUUGGCGUUUGAGGCUUCACAUUCGUUUUCUAUUUUUUGUUGGGUUUAAUUUCUUGAUUUCAAAUAAUUAUAGAUGUGUUUUAACUCUAAUUGGUUUGAAGCUAAUUGAAAAGAUGAGAUUUUUUUUUUAACCAUUGAGUGCAUUCUAGAACUUUUUUUGUUUGGCCAUUCAUUGACAUGAAAUUGACUAUAAUUUCUUAUUUUUCUCGAAGGGAUCAAAUGAAUUUCAUUUUGUUGAAGCAUAGUUUCUUAUUUUUUUUGGGAGUUGGUUUUUAUACCAGAUAUUAUAGCUUAGUAUGCAUAUUAUAUUUGCUUUGUUUAAACUGCAGUAACUUGUUAAUUGCUUCUUAAUUUUUCAUGGUCUAUGAUAGGGUGUUACAAAAGAAAGGAACUUAGGAAUGAGUGAAAAUGAUUCAAAGAAUAACUUAGGAAUGAUGAGUAGAUGUUAUUCAUUAUAAAGAACAAUUUGCAGUAUGAUUCUUUACAUUACAUUUGUAUGUUUGUGGUGCCUUCUCAUAUAGCCAAUUAAUUUUUUUGCGAGGCAAUGAUGCUAAUCAUCAAUCUUUUUUUUUUUGUUAAAUUUUCAGCUCAAAGUGGAUUCAGACUAUGUUUAGUUUUCUCUAGUCCCCAAAACCACAUGGUAGUAGUUUUUGAAGCUAUAUGACAUUCUAGGUUCUUCAAUUUUUGUUAGAUAUUCGCAAUAUAAUCAAUUAUGUUUGCCUUUCAUCUAGUAAUACUACUAUGGAAAGAGUUUGUUCAACAAUUUUGAUGGGUAGAAAAAUGGCUGGUUCAGUUAUUUUGUGGAGGCUAGAUGUAGCUUAAGAUUCAUCCAUGAUAAGUUUUCAACUAUCAGUUUCACAUAUUGUACAAAUUAAUAUUUGGUUCGUGUUGUAUUGUUAUCAGGAAGUUUGUUUUUUAAAUUAAGUUUUAGAAGUAUAGUUUUAUUUUCUUGAUGUAAUUUUGUUUUUGAGAACUUGAAGAUUGAGAUGAGAUGUCAAUAAAUUAAAAUAUGCAUAGUGGGGACUUGGGAAUGACUAUUUCUAUCUCAAGGUUUAAAAUGAAUUUUAAGAAAAAUUCCCUAGCUAUUUUAUGUGUUGUAUCUUUGUUUUUAACGUUCUGAAAUGAAAAUUUUUAGUCAUCAAACCAUGAUUCUGAAGGAUGAUUUUGAUUCAAAUGAUUGUUGAAAUUGCUUGAGUCAUACAAGAUAUGGGGAAAG